Long non-coding RNA from Solanum dulcamara, 445 nucleotides. RefSeq lists it as uncharacterized. The transcript is spliced from 2 exons. The record is from RefSeq and is a predicted model, not a curated record. NCBI's taxonomy places the organism in Eukaryota, Viridiplantae, Streptophyta, Magnoliopsida, Solanales, Solanaceae.
AUUCUCUAAGGCAAGAACAUAAUUCCCUCAAGGAUUCUUCUCCAAGCUACAAGCUAGAGUUUCAGAUUUUCUUCAAGAUUUAUUUUCACUUAUAAGUGAUUUCAAUCAAGGCCUCCAACCCGUUACACAAAUACUAUGGCAACAACUAGUAAGCUCGCCGCACCAGCUAGCAUUACAAUAGCUAUAUGGCAAUGGUUCAUGUAACUGAUACAGUAAUCAUCCCGUAAGGUACUCUUACUGCAACGGUUAUUCAUCCCUCACUAACAACAAUUUCCUCAGAUAAAUGGCACAGUCAGAACCGUUGCAUUGGAUAUUUUGCAACAAUUCUAUUAUCUUUGUUGUAAUAGAUUUGAUAUCUAUAUUUGAACGGUUAUUAUUUUUUGCAACAGUUGAUUGCAGUAUGUUAUAACAAAUAUAUUGUUCUAAUGCAACCGUUUUUAUGGUU